This 303-nucleotide ribosomal RNA is filed under the name Stegopontonia commensalis. Its description in RNAcentral is "partial 16S ribosomal RNA". Lineage: Eukaryota; Metazoa; Arthropoda; Malacostraca; Decapoda; Palaemonidae. The record is from RNAcentral.
CUUUUAAUUGAAGGCUUGUAUGAACGGUUGGAUGAAAGAAUAGCUGUCUNUUAAAUAAUUUAGAAUUUGACUUUUAAGUGAAAAGGCUUAAAUUUAAUAAGGGGACGAUAAGACCCUAUAAAACUUUAUUAAUAAGGUGUAUAAUCUUUGAGUUAUAUUAAAAUGUUGAUAAAUACUUUAUUUAUUUCGUUGGGGCGACGUUGAUAUAAUUUGUAACUGUCUGAAUGAAUAAUAUAAUAAUAAUUAUAUUUUGAUCCUUCUUUGUGGAUUAUAAGAGUAAGUUACUUUAGGGAUAACAGCGUA